GAGGCUGUAGUUCCAUGGCAGAACAUCUGCUUGGCAUGCAGACACUUCCAGGUUCAAUCCCGGGCAUCUUCA
RNAcentral lists this transfer RNA (72 nucleotides) under Sphaerodactylus townsendi. Its description in RNAcentral is "tRNA-Ala". It matches the Rfam family "tRNA". Rfam says of the family: Transfer RNA (tRNA) molecules are approximately 80 nucleotides in length. The record is from RNAcentral. Lineage: Eukaryota; Metazoa; Chordata; Lepidosauria; Squamata; Sphaerodactylidae.